RNAcentral lists this ribosomal RNA (459 nucleotides) under uncultured bacterium. RNAcentral's name for it is "partial 16S ribosomal RNA". It matches the Rfam family "Bacterial small subunit ribosomal RNA", at positions 338 to 795 of the family's 1533-position model. The record is from RNAcentral.
CCUACGGGGGGCAGCAGUGAGGAAUAUUGGUCAAUGGGCGCGAGCCUGAACCAGCCAAGUCGCGUGAGGGAAGACGGUCCUAUGGAUUGUAAACCUCUUUUGUCGGGGAGCAAAAGACGCCACGCGUGGCGUUCCGAGAGUACCCGAAGAAAAAGCAUCGGCUAACUCCGUGCCAGCAGCCGCGGUAAUACGGGGGAUGCGAGGGUUAUCCGGAUUUAUUGGGUUGAAAGGGUGCGCAGGCGGAAGAGCAAGUCAGCGGUAAACUUGAGAGGCUCAACCUCUUCGAGCCGUUGAAACUGGUUUUCUGGAGUGAGUGAGAAGAAUGCGGAAUGCGUGGUGUAGCGGUGAAAUGCAUAGAUAUCACGCAGAACUUCGAUUGCGAAGGCAGCAUACCGGCGCUCAACUGACGCUCAUGCACGAAAGUGUGGGUAUCGAACAGGAUUAGAUACCCCAGUAGUC